RNAcentral lists this ribosomal RNA (434 nucleotides) under uncultured bacterium. Its description in RNAcentral is "partial 16S ribosomal RNA". It matches the Rfam family "Bacterial small subunit ribosomal RNA", at positions 29 to 507 of the family's 1533-position model. The record is from RNAcentral.
AGCGAACGCUGGCGGCAGGCCUAACACAUGCAAGUCGAACGAACCUGUCGGGCUUAGUGGCGGACGGGUGAGUAACACGUGGGAACGAGCCUUUAGGUUCGGAAUAACUCAGGGAAACUUGUGCUAAUACCGAAGGUGCUCUUCGGGGGAAAGAUUAAUCGCCUUUUGAUGGGCCCGCGUCUGAUUAGCUAGUUGGGUGGGGUAAUGGCACGCCACGGCGACGAGCAGUAGCUGGUCUGAGAGGAGGAUCAGCCACAUUGGGACUGAGACACGGCCCACACUCCUACGGGAAGCAGCGGUGGGGAAUCUUGCGCAAUGGGCGAAAGCCUGACGCAGCCAUGCCGGGUGAAUGAUGAAGGUCUUAGGAUUGUAAAAUUCUUUCACCGGGGACGAUAAUGACGGUACCCGGAGAAGAAGCCCCGGCUAACUUCGUG